GCAAGCGCCUAGAGCUUUCGCCCACUCAGCCCCCGCUAACGUAUAGGAAGAGCGCCGCAUUAUGGCGACCGGGCGGGGGCUGAGUGGGCGAAAGCUCUAGGCGCUUGC
Molecule: non-coding RNA, 108 nt
Organism: Podarcis lilfordi (Lilford's wall lizard)
Lineage: Eukaryota; Metazoa; Chordata; Lepidosauria; Squamata; Lacertidae
Source: the annotation of a GenBank genome assembly